RNAcentral lists this long non-coding RNA (1578 nucleotides) under Homo sapiens (human). RNAcentral describes it as "long non-coding RNA NONHSAT212388.1". Lineage: Eukaryota; Metazoa; Chordata; Mammalia; Primates; Hominidae. The record is from RNAcentral.
CAGAAUGGCCUGGCACGGUGACCACGGAGUGCCCUGGCACCGGUGCCCGCGGCUGUGACGGAAAAAGGGUGGGAAGAACAGGGAAGAGGAAGCAGAAACAGGUUAUCUGUUCACUCUGAUGGUAGAGAAGACCUUAAAUGACCUGAUGGAGCUGAAAACCAUGGCGAGAACUUCCUGCCUUCGAUUUCUCACAAGCUCGGGCAUACCACGAGGCUUGGAGACUCAAAACCUGAAGAGCCUGCAAUCAGAUUUCUCCCUUACUAUUCCUGCUCAUUGUCUUCUGUGGACUAAUACUGAACAUGAAACUCAGAUGGUUUCCAGAGUUAGUUCCUUACAAGCAUUUCCUCUUGAAACAUCGGGAAUCUAAAUAAAGGGAAAGGUGUCUAAUGGUCUAGUCUACCAACUUCACUAUGCUGAUUUAUGAAAGAAUUGCUGAAACCCAGUGAAUAAUAGCAUUUGCCCUUCUUUCUCAAAAAAGCAGCAUUUGCUUUCUUCUGGCAAGGAAUAAUUAAGCUAAUUUCUCCAUGAACCUUGGAAAAAGUGGCAACGAAUAAUGGAUUUGUCCCUCAAAGAACAUUUCAAGCAAACAUCUUAUCAGCUACAAAUUCAUUUGAGGCAGUUCCAGGUCAGCCACAGGCAAUUUUUCUCAUUAAAAUACUGUUUAAACUGUUGUAUCCAGAUGACACAGGAGACAUAUCAGACAAACAACACCUGCAAGAAGAAUUGGUGAAGUAUUGACUUUUCAUCAAUCAAAAAGUUUACUAAGCAGAUGAAAAUAAUUUGCCUUCACAGUGACAUUUUCCUGACGUCUUGCUAGUACUUAAAGGCAUUGUUUUUUCUUUAACACCCAAACUUUAAUUACCAGAAAAGGUUAGCAUCAAAACAAAGGACAUGUUGGUAAUUUAGAGGCACUCCUUGAUGAAAUAAGUAAGAAAGCUUGUCAAGAGCCAUCACUCUUGCUCAUGGGACAAGAGAAGGCACUGACCUGUGCCCACCAGCACCCCAUCACUGAGCCAACACCACCUUCAGGAAGACAGUCUCCAGCAGGGCUUCCCCCAAUUCCCCUAGCUGCUUUGCCUCUGCUACUCCGGUAAGCACCUGCAGGGAGGCAGGCACCCCAGCACCCACUAGCAUUCUGCAACAGCUGUUGCACCUUGGCUCCCCCAGUACAGUGGAUUCCAAACCUCAAGGAGUCAAAGAACAGAUGGGGCCCAAUACAAAUUCCCCAGAAUUACAACAUGCCGUCCAGGAGUUGAGAGCUGAGUGUUGACCUUCUAAAAUCUCCCAGAAACAAAGCCAGGUGGCUGAAUCCACCUUAUAUUAUAGUCAAACCCUCAAGGUCAUCAAAUCAUCAAAUAGGAUAAAAGAAAAAAAAAUCCAAAGGUCAGCAACAUCCAAGAUUGAAGACAGAUAAGCUCACAAAGAUGAGAAAGAGUCAGCACAGGAAAACUGAAAACUCGAAAAACCAGAGUGCCCUCUUUCCUACGAACAGCCACAUCACCUCUCCAGCAAAGGUUCUGAACUGAGCUGAGAUGGCCAAAAUGACAGAAAUAGAAUUCAGAAUAUGGAUAAGAAUGA